This 130-nucleotide small nucleolar RNA is filed under the name Dasypus novemcinctus (nine-banded armadillo). Its description in RNAcentral is "Small nucleolar RNA U109 (ENSDNOG00000028962.2)". It matches the Rfam family "Small nucleolar RNA U109". Lineage: Eukaryota; Metazoa; Chordata; Mammalia; Cingulata; Dasypodidae. The record is from RNAcentral.
CUGUGGAAUGUCUGCUUCUCAUUCCUUUAGCAGCAGGAAUAUAUUCAUAAUAUGCCACAUUAAAAUAGGAGUUCUCAGGGCUGUCAACCUUAUUGAAAAGGUUGAGUAGUAGUAUAUUUCUCCUACAUUA